AUAAAUGCUAUGAAGAGAAGAGUAGUGAAAAGGAAUUCUUAAAGAGAGCUAAUGUUUGGUGAAAGUUAGUAGAAGAAAUUUUCAUGAAGAUGGACUUGGAGCAUAUUUCCCGAGCAAUAUUUGUUAAGGAAUUACGGCAGCAUCCGUUAUAAUGCAAGGUGAUGAUGGUCACCUAAUGAGUUGUUUAUUGUGAGAUAAAUAAGAAGUAGAGUGGUAACACGUAUAUACGUCUCUAUA
RNAcentral lists this non-coding RNA (237 nucleotides) under Clostridium taeniosporum. Its description in RNAcentral is "T-box sequence". It matches the Rfam family "T-box leader". From Rfam's summary of the family: Uncharged tRNA acts as the effector for transcription antitermination of genes in the T-box leader family. T-boxes are found upstream of many aminoacyl-tRNA synthetase genes and some amino acid biosynthetic genes usually in Gram-positive bacteria. The record is from RNAcentral. Lineage: Bacteria; Bacillati; Bacillota; Clostridia; Eubacteriales; Clostridiaceae.